RNAcentral lists this ribosomal RNA (253 nucleotides) under uncultured bacterium. Its description in RNAcentral is "partial 16S ribosomal RNA". It matches the Rfam family "Bacterial small subunit ribosomal RNA", at positions 524 to 776 of the family's 1533-position model. The record is from RNAcentral.
GACGUAGGGCGCGAGCGUUGUCCGGAUUUAUUGGGCGUAAAGAGCUCGUAGGCGGCUUGUCGCGUCGACUGUGAAAGCCCGCGGCUCAACCGCGGGUCUGCAGUCGAUACGGGCAGGCUAGAGUUCGGUAGGGGAGACUGGAAUUCCUGGUGUAGCGGUGAAAUGCGCAGAUAUCAGGAGGAACACCGGUGGCGAAGGCGGGUCUCUGGGCAGUAACUGACGCUGAGGAGCGAAAGCGUGGGGAGCGAACAGG